Molecule: ribosomal RNA, 1007 nt
Filed under: uncultured marine bacterium
Lineage: Bacteria
Description: bacterial SSU rRNA
Rfam family: Bacterial small subunit ribosomal RNA
Source: RNAcentral
AACUGAUUGAACGUGCUUGCACGGACUUGACGUUGGUUACCAGCGAGUGGCGGACGGGUGAGUAACACGUAGGUAACCUGCCCCAAAGCGGGGGAUAACAUUUGGAAACAGAUGCUAAUACCGCAUAACAAUUUGAAUCGCAUGAUUCAAAUUUAAAAGAUGGCUUCGGCUAUCACUUUGGGAUGGACCUGCGGCGCAUUAGCUUGUUGGUAGGGUAACGGCCUACCAAGGCUGUGAUGCGUAGCCGAGUUGAGAGACUGAUCGGCCACAAUGGAACUGAGACACGGUCCAUACUCCUACGGGAGGCAGCAGUAGGGAAUCUUCCACAAUGGGCGCAAGCCUGAUGGAGCAACACCGCGUGAGUGAAGAAGGGUUUCGGCUCGUAAAGCUCUGUUGUUAGAGAAGAACGUGCGUGAGAGUAACUGUUCACGCAGUGACGGUAUCUAACCAGAAAGUCACGGCUAACUACGUGCCAGCAGCCGCGGUAAUACGUAGGUGGCAAGCGUUAUCCGGAUUUAUUGGGCGUAAAGCGAGCGCAGGCGGUUUGAUAAGUCUGAUGUGAAAGCCUUUGGCUUAACCAAAGAAGUGCAUCGGAAACUGUCAGACUUGAGUGCAGAAGAGGACAGUGGAACUCCAUGUGUAGCGGUGGAAUGCGUAGAUAUAUGGAAGAACACCAGUGGCGAAGGCGGCUGUCUGGUCUGCAACUGACGCUGAGGCUCGAAAGCAUGGGUAGCGAACAGGAUUAGAUACCCUGGUAGUCCAUGCCGUAAACGAUGAGUGCUAGGUGUUGGAGGGUUUCCGCCCUUCAGUGCCGCAGCUAACGCAUUAAGCACUCCGCCUGGGGAGUACGACCGCAAGGUUGAAACUCAAAGGAAUUGACGGGGGCCCGCACAAGCGGUGGAGCAUGUGGUUUAAUUCGAAGCUACGCGAAGAACCUUACCAGGUCUUGACAUCUUGCGCCAACCCUAGAAGAAUAGGGCGUUUCCCUUCGGGAACGCAAUGGACAG